RNAcentral lists this ribosomal RNA (425 nucleotides) under uncultured bacterium. RNAcentral's name for it is "bacterial SSU rRNA". It matches the Rfam family "Bacterial small subunit ribosomal RNA", at positions 356 to 772 of the family's 1533-position model. The record is from RNAcentral.
AGGGAAUAUUGCGCAAUGGGGGAAACCCUGACGCAGCAAUACCGCGUGAGUGAGGAAGGUCUUCGGAUUGUAAAGCUCUGUCAGUAGGGAAACAUGGCACUGCCGUGAAUAAUGGUGGUGUUUGAUGGUACCUGCAAAGGAAGCACCGGCAAACUUCGUGCCAGCAGCCGCGGUAAUACGAAGGGUGCAAGCGUUGUUCGGAUUUAUUGGGUUUAAAGGGUGCGUAGGCGGUCCUAUAAGUCAGUGCUGAAAUAUCCCGGCUUAACCGGGAGGGUGGCAUUGAUACUGCAGGGCUUGAGUAAAGUUGAGGUGGGCGGAAUUGACGGUGUAGCGGUGAAAUGCUUAGAUAUCGUCAAGAACACCGAUUGCGAAGGCAGCUCACUAAGCUUUAACUGACGCUGAGGCACGAAAGUGUGGGGAUCAAA